UUCGUAGGUGGCAUGUUAAGUCUGGUGUUAAAGCCCGAAGCUCAACUUCGGUUAGGCACUGGAUACUGGCAAGCUUGAAUGCGGUAGAGGUAAAGGGAAUUCCUGGUGUAGCGGUGAAAUGCGUAGAUAUCAGGAGGAACAUCGGUGGCGUAAGCGCUUUACUGGGCCGUAAUUGGCACUGAGGAACGAAAGCCGGGGUAGCAAAUGGGAUUAGAUACCCCAGUAGUCCCGGCCGUAAACGAUGGAUACUAGGUGUUGCGGGUAUCGACCCCUGCAGUGCCGUAGCUAACGCGAUAAGUAUCCCGCCUGGGGAGUACGCACGCAAGUGUGAA
RNAcentral lists this ribosomal RNA (332 nucleotides) under uncultured bacterium. RNAcentral's name for it is "bacterial SSU rRNA". It matches the Rfam family "Bacterial small subunit ribosomal RNA", at positions 568 to 898 of the family's 1533-position model. The record is from RNAcentral.